Oryzias melastigma (Indian medaka) is the source of this 2665-nucleotide long non-coding RNA. RefSeq lists it as uncharacterized. NCBI's taxonomy places the organism in Eukaryota, Metazoa, Chordata, Actinopteri, Beloniformes, Adrianichthyidae. The transcript has 2 exons. The record is from RefSeq and is a predicted model, not a curated record.
GGCGUUCAGUUUUUAUCAAGUGCUGCUAGCUAACAAGUAAACAAUCCUUAACUGUACCUAAAUAAAAAUAUAUAUAUAUUGUGUAAGUGAGGCUAAUGAGUUAGUUUUUAACAUUUAACUCAACAAUUAAAAAAACACUACUACUAUACAACUGCAUUUUUUAUGUGUUGUACUUCCUUUAUAGAAGGCAAUAACGUUCCUGUUUACUCAGUAGCAUCUUUUUUUAUGUUAUGCUUAGCCAUAAAUGUCAUUAAUAUUUUGGAAAAAAAAUAUGAUGUAAUUUUAAGAACAGCUUGCUAAAAAUUGAGAGACUAGUAUUUUCCAAUUUGAUAUUUUACAAAGCAACAUAUUUGCAUCAAGGUUAAUCAACAUAAAAAGUAGAUGGUUGCUAAGAAGCUCAGAUUCAAGGACUAAUUUACCAAUCAUUCAAAUGUAUCGGUUUCCAUAUCUUUUGAGGACAGUAACCCUGAAAGGCAAAACACAUAAACAAAUUAGUCUACUCGACGAAAAAAAAAACAUUUAAAGAUCAAAAUUACAAUUAAAAAGACACGUCUUUAGAACACAGCAUUAAGUUUUAGAACAGUGUUUUUCAACCAGUGCGCCUCCAACUGUCUCCGCCAAACAUUCUUGGAGGCUUAAUCAUGUCAUCAGUCUGACCAAUCCUCACUUUUUUGUUGCAACUUGGCUCAUAAAGUCUCACAGUUCCAACAAAAAUAACAUCUAAAGCUUGUGUUUAGCGUUGAAUGUUGUCGAGGAAAAAGUGUACCUUGGCUCAAGAAAGGUUGAAAAACACUGUUUUAGAAAAAAAAAGCAUUUCGGAAAUCAAAAUGUAAUGUUAAUAAUACAUCUAACUGAUAAACUGGAAAAGGUUGGUACUAUGGGACAUCGCUGAUUGGAUGAUGAUAUCCAGUAUCACCUAAUGUCAAUGGCUGUAUAAAUUUGACUCUUUCUAUAUACAGUACAAUUUACAGUCCUAGAGUCAAUGCUUAAUGCCAAAUGAUUCACAGUUGAAAUGACAAACAUCUACGUCCAGUCAGCGACUUCCCAUAGUAUCAACCUUUUCCUGCUUCUCAUUGUGUUUUGUCUUUUAUUUAUAUAUAUACAUAGUAUAUACCCUGAAUGUUUCAGGGUCGGGUAUUGUGGGAGGGGUGGGGACAGGAUGUAAUGGACAUUUGCUUGUUUUUAAAUGUUUAUGUUUUCUUUCUUUAUGCUUCUUAUGUUCAGCGCUUUGAGCUGGCGUGAGCCAUGAAAACUGCUUCAUAAUUAAAGAUUUGAUUUGAUUUUAUAUAUAUAUUUAUUUAUUUUUAUUUUUUUCAGGGAAAUUACUUUUGUUUUUCAAAUUUUUGUUUUGUUUUACAUUUUGGUCUGGAAUUUUGUUUAAUUUUCUAAAAUGUAAUGCCUUAUUUUAAAAUAUUUGUUUUGAUUUUUUGUGGUAGUGAUCAUCAAAAUGUUUUUGCAUUGAAGGAUUUGUUGAUGUGAUUUGCACUUUAGGGCUGUCGUAUGAGUAUUUGCUGAGGUAACACUUUAUGUGCUGCAAAACACUCCAUAUAAGGUUGACAAAGAUAGUUAAUACAUUUGUUAAGCUUGUAAGUAUCUUAUUAAUAUGCCAUUUGUUGACAAUGGCCUCACUUCAGAUGUUAAUGAAUCUUACUAAGUACAUUAAUAAACCUUAUUUGGAUUAUUUUGCUAAAUGUCUUACUAACCCCCUAUAAGCACAUUAAUAAUGUUUGUUAAUGUGUUAAUAAAGCUGGUUAAGGACUCUUAUUAUAAAGUGCUACCGGAUCUUAUUCAAACUAUUCACAAGUAAUAAUAUUAACAGUGUCAAAAUGUGUAUUGUUGCUUUACAAGACGCUGUUUGCAAACUUUAGUACAUAAAUAUCAACAUUUAUGAGGUUAGAAAAUGCCUCCAGGAAUGUGAGUGUCUCCAAGUAGUGAGAUAUGUGAAGAGAUAUUGUUAGAGAACAUGAAGCUUCUCAAUAAAAGUUAGACUAUUACUAUGAGAAAUUGCUUUUCUUUUAUAGCCCAUCAUUUAAAGGUGUCCAGCUGUGGUUACUUUAUCCUCUUCAGGGUUGCAGGAAGACUUCAGCGGAGCCGCAAUAUCAUUAGAAGACAACUCACACAGCCAUUAGAGGUCUCCUGUUUGUAACAGAUCCAUAGAGGGAACAGCGAGGAAAACAGUUUGUACUCUACUCAUCAGAAAAUAUUAAGCAGCCAGGGCAUCAUAAUCACUCAUUAUAACACCUUUCCUUACUGCACAAAUACAUGCCUUAAAGUUAAUGUGAAAAACUUUAUUAUUUGGGAUUAUACAUACUUUAUAGUGAUGGAGAGAUCAUAGAUUGCAGGCUGUGCUUUGUGACAAUGAUGGAAGCUUAUUACAGCUGCUUUGGACAAUGAAGCUUCUCAGUUACUUUGUCAUCAAACUGUUUUUAAAUACAUGUUGUGACACUUUUGCACAAUGAAGAAGUUGACAGCUGAACCUGUUACAUUUCUCUUUGAACAUGAGCUGUCACCUCAGUGAUACCGGCUUUCAAAAACAUUAGAUGACAGGAGAGUAAAAACUGCAGAACCCUCCUUAGAUUGAUGAGACUUUCUUGAAAAAGAGCUGCAGACAAAAAGGACUGUUAGCUGCUGACACUCCAGUUUGAACAAAAAAAUAAAGAAAAAA